UAGACGGGGACCCGCACAAGUGGUGGAGCAUGUGGUUUAAUUCGAAGAUACGCGAAGAACCUUACCUAGCCUUGACAUAUAUUAGAACAGACCAGAGAUGGACUGGUGCCUUCGGGAGCUUUUAUACAGGUGCUGCACGGCUGUCGUCAGCUCGUGUCGUGAGAUGUUGGGUUAAGUCCCGCAACGAGCGCAACCCUCGUCACUAGUUACUAACGGUUCGGCCGAGGACUCUAGUGAGACUGCCUUCGCAAGGAGGAGGAAGGUGAGGACGACGUCAAGUCAUCAUGGCCCUUACGGCUAGGGCAACACACGUGCUACAAUGGCCAGGACAAUGAGACGCGAUACCGCGAGGUGGAGCAAAUCUAUAAACCUGGUCUCAGUUCGGAUUGUAGUCUGCAACUCGACUACAUGAAGCUGGAAUCACUAGUAAUCGUAGAUCAGCUA
Molecule: ribosomal RNA, 444 nt
Filed under: uncultured Campylobacterota bacterium
Lineage: Bacteria; Pseudomonadati; Campylobacterota
Description: bacterial SSU rRNA
Rfam family: Bacterial small subunit ribosomal RNA
Source: RNAcentral